ACUCCUACGGGAGGCAGCAGUGGGAAUAUUGGACAAUGGGCGAAAGCCUGAUCCAGCCAUGCCGCGUGGGUGAAGAAGGCCCUAGGGUUGUAAACCCUUUCAGUCGGGGAAGGAUAAUGACGGUACCCGCAGAAGAAGCCCCGGCUAACUCCGUGCCAGCAGCCGCGGUAAUACGGAGGGGCUAGCGUUGUUCGGAAUUACUGGGCGUAAAGCGCGCGUAGCGGACUUUCAAGUCAGGGGUGAAAUCCCGAGGCUCAACCUCGGAACUGCCUUUGAUACUGUAAGUCUUGAGUCCGAGAGAGGUGAGUGGAAUUCCUAGUGUAGAGGUGAAAUUCGUAGAUAUUAGGAAGAACACCAGUGGCGAAGGCGGCUCACUGGCUCGGUACUGACGCUGAGGCGCGAAAGCGUGGGGAGCAAACAGGAUUAGAUACCCUGGUAGGCUCUGC
Molecule: ribosomal RNA, 446 nt
Filed under: uncultured bacterium
Lineage: Bacteria
Description: bacterial SSU rRNA
Rfam family: Bacterial small subunit ribosomal RNA
Source: RNAcentral